UCUCCUCCAGUGAAUCACACAGAGCGUCAACCUCGAACCAAGCAGCAGAACAGCACACAAUGCACACCAGGCAGCAACCACCGCAGAUUUGCGACCUACACCCUCCUGGUGGCAUACUGGGAUCUGAUUGAGGUCAGCAGACACCAAGUUAAGAGUCACCAGUGCAAACACGUCCAAGAUAAGUGUUCCUUGACCAAAAACAUCACUCCCACCAAUCAAUGAGUUUUUCUUGUUGGGUCUGAAACAGAAGGAUUUGGGCUUUUUUUUUUACAUCCACCAGUCAACAGUGAUCCAGAUAAUCAUGUCUUGUGACAACUUCUUCUACUUCCUGCUUGGCUCAGUAUGGAUAUGGAUCCCCAAAGAUAACAUCAAAGCCAACAUGCCACCCAAGUUCAAUGAUCUAAUUAUCUAGACACCAAAGUUGUGAUCAACUGCACUGAACUUUGCUGCCAGACACCAUCUUCCCUACUCCUGCAAAUUGAGGUGUUUUCUUCACUCUGUACCUUCAAGGGCAUGUUAGGAACGUCACCACACGGAGUUGUCACUUUUGUGUCCUCUUUGUAUGCUGGUUCUGUGAGUGACAAGGAGAUUGUUAUGCCGCCAGGAAUUCUUUCCUUACUUAUCCCUGAUCAUGGCCUUUAUGGUGGAUGAGGGCUACCUUGUGGAUGAUCUUGUUCCAUGCGGGAUCUGUCGGCCAGCUUUUCUGCAGAGGCGCCACAGAUGCCAGCGCAUGAGGUUAGGGAGGCCCUAUCCAGUGCCAGGCAAAGGGUGCAUGUCAAAACAAUGAUUCAGAGAGUAAAGGAGCACAAGCUGUUUGACAGUCAUCCCUCUGAUUGUCUUAGGAAGCAUCAACUAACUAUUUGCAGUCAUGCUUGCUGGUCAAUGAAAAUGGACCUUUGGUCAGAGCAUGGGCCAAGCUGCUAUAAACGUACAUUUGUUUUUGCUUUGGGUCACUCUGACCAUGAAGAUUUUUUUUUUUAAAGAUAACCAACUGCAUUAAGUAAUAGUUACAUAUAAUGAAAUGUUUAUUGAAUAUUCCCAGAUUGUGUGCCUACCACAAAUCAGGUAAACGUCACAAAUGUCAAAAUAUGAAAUGUAUAAUUUGUGGAUUAAAUGUAUUAAUAACUUGUAACACUUCAAUGCAUAUUAGUUGUUUGUGUUGAUCUUGUAUUGGCCUUAAUAAGGAAAUUUGUUUUAGUAAGCACCGAAGAGAA
Esox lucius (northern pike) is the source of this 1214-nucleotide long non-coding RNA. RefSeq lists it as uncharacterized. NCBI's taxonomy places the organism in Eukaryota, Metazoa, Chordata, Actinopteri, Esociformes, Esocidae. The transcript is spliced from 3 exons. The record is from RefSeq and is a predicted model, not a curated record.